CAACCUUAAACGUGGUAGGUAAAAUUGUAGCAUGCUACCAAUACGUUUUAGUAAUGUUUUUCGAAUCCGGAAUUUUAAAGUCUUAAAUAUCACCACGUAGAUGAUUAUUUGUCAUCCUGCAUCGUCAGCAAAAGUGCAGUAAAAACAAUGGAUUUAAAGGGGAAACCUGUGCCCUCCAAAAUCCUGGAUAGUCACAUUGCAUUCAAUCAUUGUCUUCUAAACGCAUCACAUUCUUCAUGUCUCAUUUAAUGCAACAGAUUAGUAAUAGAAGAAAGCAUGCAUUGGAUUACAACAAAUAUCAGAUGUAUAAAUUACAUUGCCGCGAUCGUCUUUAUUUCCUCGUGGUACAAACAACUAGCAGCAGCUGCAAUAACCAUCAAAUGUAAUACGAUUACUCCAUUUUUAGAUGUAAUAUGUUUCUAUCUUAGCUUCGUCGUUUCAUACAAUUAUAGCAGU
Long non-coding RNA from Daphnia carinata, 456 nucleotides. RefSeq lists it as uncharacterized. The transcript is spliced from 4 exons. The record is from RefSeq and is a predicted model, not a curated record. Lineage: Eukaryota; Metazoa; Arthropoda; Branchiopoda; Diplostraca; Daphniidae.